AAUGAACGCUGGCGGCGCGCCUAAUACAUGCAAGUCGAGCGGGAAGACGUAGCAAUACGUUUGUAAAGCGGCGAACGGGUGAGGAAUACAUGGGUAACCUACCCUCGAGUGGGGAAUAACUAGCCGAAAGGUUAGCUAAUACCGCGUACGCUUCUUGGACUUCGGUUCAGGGAGGAAAGCGAUGCCGAGGGUAUCGCGCUCUUGGAUGGGCUCAUGUCCUAUCAGCUUGUUGGGAGGUAACGGCUCACCAAGGCUUCGACGGGUAGCUGGUCUGAGAGGACGAUCAGCCACACUGGCACUGCGACACGGGGCCAGACUCCUACGGGAGGCAGCAGUAAGGAAUAUUGCGCAAUGGGCGAAAGCCUGACGCAGCGACGCCGCGUGGGGGAGUGAAGGUC
RNAcentral lists this ribosomal RNA (398 nucleotides) under uncultured bacterium. Its description in RNAcentral is "bacterial SSU rRNA". It matches the Rfam family "Bacterial small subunit ribosomal RNA", at positions 29 to 416 of the family's 1533-position model. The record is from RNAcentral.